RNAcentral lists this ribosomal RNA (481 nucleotides) under uncultured bacterium. Its description in RNAcentral is "bacterial SSU rRNA". It matches the Rfam family "Bacterial small subunit ribosomal RNA", at positions 28 to 524 of the family's 1533-position model. The record is from RNAcentral.
GAUGAACGCUAGCGGCAGGCCUAAUACAUGCAAGACGAACGGUAAGCUUUGUAGCAAUACGGAGCCUAGAGUGUCGCAAGGGUGCGUAACACGUAUGCAAUCUACCCUGUACAGGAGUAUAGCUCCCCGAAAGGGGAAUUAACCCUCCAUAACAUGAUGAGUCGGCAUCGACUUAUUAUUAAAACUGAGGUGGUACAGGAUGAGCAUGCGUCUGAUUAGCUAGUUGGUGGUGUAAUGGACUACCAAGGCAAUGAUCAGUAGGUGGUCUGAGAGGAUGAUCAGCCGCACUGGGACUGAGACACGGCCCAGACUCCUACGGGAGGCAGCAGUGGGGAAUAUUGGACAAUGGGCGAAAGCCUGAUCCAGCAAUGCCGCGUGAGUGAUGAAGGCCUUAGGGUUGUAAAGCUCUUUUACCCGGGAUGAUAAUGACAGUACCGGGAGAAUAAGCUCCGGCUAACUCCGUGCCAGCAGCCGCGGUAAU